ACGAACGCUAGCGACGUGCCUAAGAAAUGCAAGUCGAGCGAGGUUGAGGAGCUUGCUCCGAAAGCCUAGCGGCGAACGGUCGCGUAACACGUAAGCAACCUGCCCUGAAGUGGGGGAUAGCCCGCCGAAAGGCGGAUUAAUACCGCAUGUGAACACCUUAUCGCAUGUUUGGGUGUUUAAAGCAGCAAUGCGCUUCAGGAUGGGCUUGCGGCCUAUCAGCUAGUUGGUGGGGUAACGGCCUACCAAGGCGACGACGGGUAGCUGGUCUGAGAGGAUGGUCAGCCGGACUGGGACUGAGACACGGCCCAGACUCCUACGGGGGGCAGCAAUUAGGAAUCUUGCGCAAUGGGCGAAAGCCUGACGCAGCGACGUCGCGUGACCGAUGAAGUCUUUCGGGAUGUAAAGGUCUUUUACAGGGGAAGAAGGAUGUGACGGUACCCUGGGAAUAAGCCCCGGCUAACUACGU
This 466-nucleotide ribosomal RNA is filed under the name uncultured bacterium. RNAcentral's name for it is "bacterial SSU rRNA". It matches the Rfam family "Bacterial small subunit ribosomal RNA", at positions 29 to 506 of the family's 1533-position model. The record is from RNAcentral.